Molecule: ribosomal RNA, 497 nt
Filed under: uncultured bacterium
Lineage: Bacteria
Description: partial 16S ribosomal RNA
Rfam family: Bacterial small subunit ribosomal RNA
Source: RNAcentral
GAUGAACGCUGGCGGCGUGCCUAAUACAUGCAAGUCGAGCGAACGGACGAGAAGCUUGCUUCUCUCAUGUUAGCGGCGGACGGGUGAGUAACACGUGUAUCCCCUACCUAUAAGACUGGGAUCACUUCGGGACUCCGGAGCUAAUACCGGAUAAUAUUUUGCACCGCAUGGUUCAAUAGUGAAAUACGGUCUUGCUGUCACUUAUAGAUGGAUACGGGCUGCAUUAGAUAGUUGGUAAGGUAACAGCUUACCACGGCAACGAUGCAUAGCCGACCUGAGAGGGUGGUAGGCCACACUGGAACGGAGCCACGGUCCAGGCUACUACGGGAGGCAGCAGUAGGGUACGUGCGGCAAUAGGCGAAAGCCUGACGGAGCAAGGCCGCGUGAGUUAUGAAGGUCUUCGGAUCGUAAAAAUCUGUUAUUGGGGAAGAACUGAUGUGUAAGUAAAUGAGCAGAUCUUGACGGUACCUAAUCAGAAAGCAACGGCUAACUACGUG